RNAcentral lists this small RNA (152 nucleotides) under Mycoplasmoides pneumoniae M129. RNAcentral's name for it is "Mycoplasma pneumoniae M129 ncRNA". Lineage: Bacteria; Bacillati; Mycoplasmatota; Mycoplasmoidales; Mycoplasmoidaceae. The record is from RNAcentral.
CAAACCAACUGUCAAUCCCGUACUUUUUGAGCUGUUGAAUGGUGUAUUUAAUGGUAGUCACAUCCAGUAAGGGUUGGUUAUCUGCAUAAAUUAAGGGAAUCGGCAAGCCUCAUACUCGUUGUCUGGAAAUACACCAUUCAGCACGUUGCAAC